GACGAACGCUGGCGGCGUGCUUAACACAUGCAAGUCGAGCGGUAAGGCCCUUCGGGGUACACGAGCGGCGAACGGGUGAGUAACACGUGGGUAAUCUGCCCUGCACUCUGGGAUAAGCCCGGGAAACUGGGUCUAAUACCGGAUACGACUGCCGCGGGCAUCCGUGGUGGUGGAAAGUUCCGGCGGUGCAGGAUGAACCCGCGGCCUAUCAGCUUGUUGGUGGGGUAAUGGCCUACCAAGGCGACGACGGGUAGCCGGCCUGAGAGGGCGACCGGCC
RNAcentral lists this ribosomal RNA (277 nucleotides) under uncultured bacterium. Its description in RNAcentral is "partial 16S ribosomal RNA". It matches the Rfam family "Bacterial small subunit ribosomal RNA", at positions 28 to 309 of the family's 1533-position model. The record is from RNAcentral.